UGUGGGAGCGGGCUUGCUCGCGAAGUCGGUGUGUCAGGCAACGUUAAUGUUGACGCUGACGACCCCUUCGCGAGCAAGCCCGCUCCCACA
RNAcentral lists this unclassified non-coding RNA (90 nucleotides) under Pseudomonas umsongensis. Lineage: Bacteria; Pseudomonadati; Pseudomonadota; Gammaproteobacteria; Pseudomonadales; Pseudomonadaceae. The record is from RNAcentral.